Molecule: long non-coding RNA, 6110 nt
Filed under: Sus scrofa (pig)
Lineage: Eukaryota; Metazoa; Chordata; Mammalia; Artiodactyla; Suidae
Description: lncRNA (ENSSSCG00000052934.1)
Source: RNAcentral
GAUCUGACUUCCAGGAGUAGGUCUUAAAAUCUAGGUAUAAGAGUAUGCCUAACAGUGACCUUGAAUAUGAAUUGUCUGUGGGAGAACAUGGUCAGGUUGGCCUGUUCAUCCCCUUGAAAAGGGCUAUUUAUACAAAGGAGAACAUUUACUUAAAACACUGAAUUUUGAACAUAGAAGUGUUUUUGGAGGCUAAUUCCAAGCUUUCACUUUGUACUUGAGAAUACUCAGAUUGAAGCCUAGGGAUUUCCUAAUUCCUAUUUUAAUUCCUACCAUCUAUCCCUUUCUCUCUUCUCUACAUUAUUUUUGUUUUUGUGAAAUAGUGUAUUUCAGGAUAGAAAUUAAAAAUUAGAGUUUAACAUCAUUAUCCCUUAACCUUUUAUUGUGUGUGUUGCUAUGAAUGAUGGUGCUUGAUCCUGAAUUUUCCUGUCCAGUCACUUAGAAGCCAUAGGCAGAGAGUUAAGAAUCACAUAGGUGAAAAGGAAAGUUUUCAGUGUGGUUAACAGGAUAUGAGGGCUUGGGGUGACAUCCAGUCAGAGGGAUCUCAUCCUUGACCUUCCGUCAGAAAAGGGCAACCGUCACUUUCUCCUCUCACCUGUUUUCCCAUCACCCCCUGCAUAUCGGAGCUGUGCAGAUGCAUUACUCUGAAUCACAAAAAGAAUAUAUUUGACAAAGGGUCUUCUGUUGCCACCACCUGUAUUGCUUCAGGCCAAGAGGAGAUUUUGGCAUUGGGUCCUUAGUGAGGUCUGCCUGAAGCUGAAACAACACAAAAUUCAUGAAGUUUCAUCAAACAUCUAGUAAAAUCAUUGAAUAAAAACAAAAUUGGCUGAAUCUAUUAGUAUUGGAAACGACUGGUCAUUUGAAUCAGCACCCUCAGUCUGGCAGUUUUGUGCUGAUAUAAUGCAUGCAGAACACCACCCCUGGCCUUUCCCUCGCACAGCUUUGAUGAAGUAAUACAAGAGUGUUCACAUACACCGGCAGAGAAGUUUUGCAGGGAAAUUUUUUUUCUAAGUAAUUCUUUCUUUCUGGUGGAAAUUUUCUUCUCUAAAGAGAUAAAGUUAAGAGGGGAAAUCUCUGAUGGGGUUGGGCCAGGUGGGGCUAUGUAUGUGCCUGGCCAGGGGUGAGGUAGGUAAAGUUCAGACAGUGGUGCUUUUGCAUUGCCAGUGAUUCAGACACCUUAGGCCACUUAAAAACGUUGACUGUAUGGCUGGGUUACCAGCUUGUAACUACUUAGUGAAUCAUUAGUUCAGCUAAAUGAAAUGGACUGGUGAUGGAUAUAGGCAUAGCCAAGGCCCCCUAUUUUUGACGUUUUAUGGACGAAGCAGGUCUAGACUUUGUUCCUUCCCUGUGGUCUUCAAAUCUAAAACACCUAAGCUAACUGAGUGCAAUUACGUAAAUGCAGUCUAGUUGUCUCUGUAAGCUCUAAGACCAUUACUUUCUCUACUUGUUAAAAAUAUUAUUAUUUUGAUUUUGAAAUAAUUUAAAAUUUAUGGAAAGAGUUCAAUUUUUUUCUCUCUCCUCCCUUCAAAAUUUCGGUGGGUUUUCUUAAAAAUAAGGUCAUUCUCUGACAGUAACCAUAGUACACCAGAUAAAUAUUUGGGGUCUCAUCAAAAUUUUCCUAUAAAUUUUAGCAUCCAUUCACGAUCCUUGCCCUAUGCAUUUUUGAAUGACCAAUCUAAUGAAUAUCUACUCUGUUUUAACAAUUGGACAGAUACAUAGAUCACUAUAACUCAGUUUCUAACCUCAGUGUUUUAGAAAAAACAGACAUGUAGACAAAUACAUUAUAGUCAGAGCGACGAGUGCAAGAAGGACAGCAAGACGGUGGUUCAGAAGCAGUAAAGACAGACGCUGCCUAAGGAAGGAGGUCAGGGAGGACCUCACAGGAGAAGCAGUUCCUGGAAGGGCUGUCUCCAAUUAGAGCUGAGGACAUUUUCUGGACCCUAUACAUCAUUAGGGGGAUAUGAAGUCCUAGCUGCUCUAAAUGUAAGACAUCCCUACUGCCUGUGUUUUUUUAAUCUCAGUGUUCUCAAUCAUUUUGACCUUCACAGUAGAAAAUACACAUUGUAACUUACAUGCAUGCACACACGCACACAAGGAGUCAGAGAAAUACAGUCUCUUAACGUUACUACUUGUGAUGCAUUCUUAUAUUUUCUAUCCUAUUCUGUUGUACUCUAUUUAUAAAUGCAGAACUAAUACAUCCAAUAUGUGGGAAUGAGGAUGUGGAAUCUACAUUUCUGACAAAUUCUCUGUGCUGUUCUGAUACUAAUCAAGGGUACUGGCUUAGGAAAAGGUGGAACGUAUUCUAAGACAACAAUAGUGGCCCCAGGAAGCUCUGUUUAAUAGACAAAUCAGGGAUCUCAAAGUUUGCCCAGGGAGAAACCCUGCUCUAGUUGAUAGGUACUCAGAGGGUUCAUUUUCUGACCUACAGCUAGUGGCACAAAGAAGAGAACUAAUGCCAAGAUUUCUCGAAAACAGGUCCAUAUGUUUUAGUGGGUCAAUGGCAGAUACUGGUGAGAACUUUUCAGAAAUGAUGGGAGAAUUCUCCCAAAAGAGGGGGAAGGUUGCCGUGGUGAAGUGAUUCAUUCCAUUCUGCUAAUGCUUUAUCCAUUCCCAUCACAUUAUUGUAGAUACUUAAGCUGCUGUGUUGAAAGCCAUCUGGAACUCAGAAUAAAGACUAUGCAUUCCAUGGGCUCUGAAAAGGGAUUUCUUGUCCCUGUAUAGAAUGCUUAAAAAUGUGAACCUUUGAUAAAGUGUUGGCUUACCUCCAAUAGGCAGAUACUUUCUCUGUAACACACUUGGCCCAGAAUAAGGUCUUCCAAAUUCCUGUAAGCCAGAUUUUUAAAACAAUUUUAAGGACAGUACCCCAAAGGACCAUAAAAAGGGUUAUUGGAAAGUAAUGGAGAAGUUAACCUAGCAGUCAAGGAGAAGGUUGGGCUCUUCCAGAGAGUGCAUCAUGUAAAGAAGGCAAAAGAUGAGAUACCACCUUGUGCUUGAGUAUCAAAUUUUGAAAAUUGUAGCGGGAGAUGUUUCUGGAGAUCAUGGAGGUGUUUUAAAAUCUUGCUAAAAGUACUUUAAAUUUUAUCUUGUAGUGAGAGUGAAUUGAGGGUAUUAGAUAGGAAACAGAUGUGGUCAUUCAUUGACUCCAAAAAUGGAAGAGAAGCUACCACAUACCAUUCAGAGAGGGGGAUACAAAGAAGGAAAGAUCAGUUAGGUGGUUAUUUCGGUGGCCUCAAUAGGAGAUGCCAAAGAGCUGAAAGCUAAUGUUACAGUGGGUAUGAUGUCCUAUCUUCCAAGCAUCCUUCUCCCACUCUGGUGACUAUAAGCUAUGAAGGAAGGGACUUGAUUUUUCUCUCUUCUCAAUUUUCAGCACACAGACACUUGCAUGGUAUGUAGCAAUCCAUCAAUGAAAACUUAUUUAAUUAAUAUCUAUAGAAGUUUAUCAUAUGAUUCGAACAACUGAUUAAUUAUAUGGGGAAACAUACCAUCCAGAAUAAUCAUUUGGCCCAAAUAAGAAGUUCUUAAUCCUGGUUCCUUCUUAAAAACACUGAAGGGUAUUUUCUCAAUGUAGGAUAGCCCACUCUUCACAGAUCCUUCUCAUUGCAACUAAAAAGCACAAUAAGGAGGUGCAGGAGAGCAGUGAAUUUCCUGGGUUUCUUUACUGCCUGCCAUAUCCUAAACUCCCAAGAGGCACAGGCUAAAAAUACUCUGAGAAAAGACACCUCCCCUAACCAAAGAACUGAUAAAAAGAUGGCUUAGCAAUAGGAAACCUUAUUGGCAAUAUCACCUAUUCCAAUCAAAUACUAGUGUUAAAAUUCUCCUCAGCUCUGCUCCUUUAUUUCACCUGACCCAGUAAGAAGUUGAUUUUCCACCUCUGUGGGUGAAAGCAUGGAUGCACUGGAAGUAGUACCCCUGGAAACAGAGAACUAACGCCUUUCUCCAUCUGGCAGAAAUGGACAGUGCUCUGAUGCCCCUGCCAGGAUGGUAUUGACAAGGUGCAGCAGCAUCUCCACCUCAACCCAGCAAUAAGGAGGCAGAAGGAGGUGGUGGUGAGAAGUAGGGGAGUUAACAAUCUGUUUCACCUCCCUCUCCUUGUGUCAGAGAAAACUUGGGAGAAACUGAGUCUCCACCUUUGCCCUGCAGUAAACUGGUAUGAGUAAGCCCUCUGCUUCCUGCCUCCCUGGUGUCAGCAGGACCAAUGGAGGAGACAACAAGGUGGUUUAAGUCAGUGCCUCACUUUUGCUGGGAUGGCAUGGGAUGGCAUCAUAGGGCCAUGCCAGAAGAUGAAUGGACACACCCAGCUAGCUCUCAAGCUAUAUCUCAACAAGGAAUUAUCUGCCAAAAAAAGAUUAAAAAGGAUCCACAAAAAAAAAAAACAACAAAAAGAGUUCCUAUCGUGGCUCAGCAGAAAUGGAUCUGACUAGUAUUCAUGAGGAUGCAAGUUUGAUCCUUGGCCUUGCUGUAAUGGGUUAAGGAUCUGGCAUUGCUGUGAGCUGUGGAAUAGGUUGCAGACUUGGCUCAGACCUGGUGUUGCUGUGGUGUAGGCCAGCAGGUACAGCACUGAUUUGACCCCCAACCUGGGAACUUCCAUAUGCCAUGGGUACAGCCCUAAAAAGGCUCCCCCCCCAAAAAAAAAGUCCAGAGUCACAUAAUAUAUAACAUUUCCAGAAUGCAACUGAUAAUCACAUCAUGGGAUAAAGCAAGAAAAUCACAAGAGGAGUGGGAAAAGACAAAAACAGGAGCCAACUCAGAGAGAAAUCAGAUGGGGAAAUUAUCUGAUAAGGAUUUUAAGCAGCUGUCAUAAACAUUUUUCAAUAAGUAAUUACAAAUUCUCUUGAAACAAAAUGAAUAAAUAGAAAUCUCAGCAAAGAAUAAAAAUAAAAAAAUAAAUGGAAAUUAUAGAAUUAAAAAUACAAUAACUAAAAAUGUUUCUUAAUGGGUUUAAUAGCAGAAUGGAGAUGGCAAGGAUAGAAUUCAUGAACUGAGGAAAUGUGAAUAAAAUUACCUAAUAUGAGUCACAGAGAAAUUUGUCUGAAAAGGACAAAAAUCCAAAAUCUAGAGUCUUAGGGACCUGUUAGUAACAAAAAAGCUAAUAUUUGUAUUUUCAGGGUCACAGAAAAGGAAGAGAAAGAAGAUCGAAAAAGUAGUUGAAAAAAUUAUGGUGAAAAUCUAUAAAUUUGGAAAAAUAUAUACCUCUACAGAUGCAAGAAGUCAAGCAAAGCCCAUGUAUGAUAAACCCAAAGAAAUUUCUGCUGAAAUACACUGUGAUUAUAUGUCUGAAAAUUAAAAACAAAGAAUUUUGAAAGCAGCCAGAGAGAAGGGAUGCACUAUUUAUACCAGCAGUUUGAAUGAUUGCAUAUUUCUAAUAUGAAGGCCUGGAGGCCAAGAGGAAGUGGCACAAGAAUUUUCAGGUAUUGAAAGAAUAGAACUGUUGGCCAUGAAUUCUAUAUCCAACAAAAAUAUUCCUAUGGAAUGAAGAGGAAAUAAAGACAUUAUCAGGAUAAGAAAAACUAUGAAAAUCUCUUACUAGCACUUACCCUUAAAAGAAUGGCUAGAGGAAGUUCUCUAAGCAUAGAAAAAAUAACAAAAGGUGACUUAAGAACAUGAGCAUAGGUAAAAGAGAAUAUAACAGUAGAUUUUGAAAAAGCCGUAAUAGCCUAUUCUAUUUCUUAUGAGCUUCUUAAAUUAUACUUUAUUAUUGAAGUAAAAUUUAUGACAACCAUGUGAUGUGGUAAUCAAUAUAUGUAAAGGAAAUAUUUUGAUAAGUACAUUGAAAAAGUGGGGAAAAUAAUUUUUCUAUACUCAAUAAAAUAGACACCACAGUCUGUCACAAGUUAUAUGUUCAUAAUGUAAAAUCCAUUGCAACUAUUAAGAAAACUAUAUAUGGGAGUUCUUGUUGUGGCUCAGUGGUAACAAACACGAGUAGUAUCCAUGAGGAUGCGGGUUUGAUCCCUGGCCUCACUCAGUGGGUUAAGUGUCUGGCAUUGCCAUGAACUGUGGUUUAGGUGGUAGAUGAAGCUCAGAUCCUGCCAUUGCUGUGGCUGUGGCAUAGGCCAAUGGCUGCAGCUCCAGUUUGACCCCUAGACUAGGAACUUCCAUAUGCUGCACAUGCAGCC